Molecule: long non-coding RNA, 2270 nt
Organism: Corvus hawaiiensis (hawaiian crow)
Lineage: Eukaryota; Metazoa; Chordata; Aves; Passeriformes; Corvidae
Exons: 2
Source: RefSeq, a predicted model, not a curated record
UGCCCGGUGCCGUGUCCUUGGCGGGCAGAGAGCGCCGAUCGUGGCAAGGGGGGUUUGUGAGUAUGGGAUCAAUCCUGCCUACGGCGCUGACGGGAGAGGGAAGCUCUGGGGCAGAGUACGGAGAAACUCGGAAUUUCAGGUGUGGCUUAACAGAAAGCUCAGGGUGCAAAAAAGGGGGUUUUGUGUGCCCAAAUUGCCUCGAGACGGCUUUGCUGUCUGUUCUCUGCAAUUGUGCCUUCUGAACACGAGAGCAUUUCACUCGUGGUGCUGUGCCCAGCAGUUCUCACAGUGCUGGGAAACAGACGAUGCUGAAACUGGAAGGAAUUUGGCCGCGUAAAAACGAGCUGUUUGUUCUUCUCCGGUGCGAGGGCUUUGAUGUUGGUUGGCAGUAAAGUUUCCUGGUUGUCUUCUCCUCCUCUUGCUCCCUCUCAAAGUCAGUGUAGGAUUUCCAAAGAACCUGCAACAGAGAAACCUCUCAUCGUGUUUGUUCCGGGCCCACGGAGACCCCGGCAGGGGAGGAGAAGGGGCGAAGGUGGAAUUUCCCUGAGAGAAGGUUCGGAGAUCGGGCAGGGGCUUCAUGGCCCUGCCCGGAGACAGAUGUUAAUUAGUGAGUGCCGGGCCCAGCCGUGACAGCAGCAGCUUCUGUUCGAGCCGCUGCUUUACUGGCAGGUUCGUCAGCCACCCUCUCUAAUUAAAGUCCUGGCGUUUGUUCCUGAUUUUCUUUCACUCUUCCGUCCAACUUUCCACCUCUUUUCUUCUCUCUGUCCAGUGUGUCUUUUGUGUUGCUUUCUUGACCUGUGUGCUCCCCAUGCCAUUCCCUUUCACUGCUUCACUCUCUCUUGUUUUUCUUUUAAGAAAUAAAUAAUCUUUAUUUAAUGAACACCGCAGAGAGGAGAGGGGGGAGAAAUGUUCCCCGACAGCUGUGAAGUUGAAGCAGGCAGCAGAGUUCCGUGGUAGGGAUGUCCUGGUGUUCUUUUAAGAAAUCCAUACUGACCUUUAUUUAAUAAAUUCUGCUCAAUCCCUCUCCCUGUUCUGUCUCUCUGUGUCUCCCUCGCCGCCCGCAUCUUUCUCUUUCCUUCUUUCUUGCUCUCCUUUUCCCUUUGUGCUGCAGUCUGACUGUAUUUCUUUGUCCCUCUCGCUGUCCUUUUGCCUGUCCCUGUCUGCAUCGGCUGCUCGGUCCCUCUCCCUCACGGUACCCUUCUCUUGGGAGCCCCUGUCCUGCUGCCCAUCCCUCUCUUUGCCCAUCCCUCUGCUGCGCCUUGCCCAUCUUCCCCGCACGCCCCCGUGCCGCGCUCGUUUCCUCCCUCCGUCCUUGUUUCCCUCUCUGUCUCUGUAUUAUCCCUCUGUCUUUCCUGUGUGUUUACCGCUCCGUCUUUCUCUGUCCUUCUCCAUGCCUCCCUGCUGUUCCUUUUUAUUCUCGGUGGAUCCGUCGUGCUCCCUGUGCCGUUGUUUCUCACGGGAUCCUUCUGUCCCGUCCCCUGGCCCUGUUCUUUUUUAAUCCCUCUCUGUCGUGCUGCCCAUCGCAGGUGGGGGGUUUUUUUCAGUUUCAUCCUGCAGCCUGCUCUUCCUUUUCCUCCUGUGUCCCCUCUGCUCCCGCUCCCUCUUUCUGCCUCUCCUGGUCUCUCCCCCCGUGCUCCCACCGCAGCGCUCGAUGUGUCCGUGAGCGCAGGUUGGGAUCCCGGAGCCGCGGCCUCGCGGGGGCAGCAGCGGCGCGGUAGGGAAGGGAUGGGACAGCUCCUGCCCCUGCCCCGAGCGCAGGAGCGGAGCGGAGCCUGAGCGGGAGCCGCGGCAGCGUCGUGGGGCGCGCUGCCCCCGUGCCAGCCCGGGACAGCGGAGCUGGGGAGGGGCUCCGAGCCUUCUGGGGGCUGCCCCCCUUGGCUGUGCCUGCCGAGCCCCUUUCUGGGGGAUGUUUGCAUGGAAAUGGCUUUAUUAAUGUGCCGUGCUGCUGUCCAGGGCAGUUUGUCUCGUUUUGUGCGUUCUUUGGGGUGAGGAAAAACGGCUGGGGGAGGGGGUGGAGACUCGGGGGCUCUGAUGUCAUUUGGGGCCCCCCAAUGUCGCAGGGAGAGCCACGAUGCGGUGGAGGAGCAGGUGAGUGGGGAAUGAGGGGGGGCCAAUGCUGGGUGACCUCCCCCAGAGGGGCCCAAAACUGCCAGAAAAUCCACUGGGAGGGAUGUGUGUGUGACAGUGUAAAAUACUAAAAGCUGUUAAGUUCUUCAUUUUUACAGCUAUAGACAAAUGCUGCUAAUUUAGAUGUAAAUUCAUUUUGAAAU